AGCAGCCGCGGUAAUUCCAGCUCCAAUAGCGUAUAUUAAAGUUGUUGCAGUUAAAAAGCUCGUAGUUGAAUUUCGGGGUCAGUAGGCUGGUCAUGCCACUGGUAUGUACUGGUCUUACUGAUUCCUCCUUCCUGACGAACCGUAAUGCCAUUAAUUUGGUGUUGCGGGGAAUUUGGACUGUUACUUUGAAAAAAUUAGAGUGUUUAAAGCAGGCUAACGCUUGAAUACAUUAGCAUGGAAUAAUGGAAUAGGACGUUCGAUCCUAUUUUUGUUGGUUUCUAGGAUUGACGUAAUGAUUAAUAGGGAUAGUUGGGGGCAUUAGUAUUCAAUUGUCAGAGGUGAAAUUCUUGGAUUUAUUGAAGACUAACUACUGCGAAAGCAUUUGCCAAGGAUGUUUUCAUUAAUCAAGAACGAAAGUUAGGGGAUCGAAGACGAUCAGAUACCGUCGUAGUCUUAACCAUAAACUAUGCCGACUAGGGAUCGGAUGAUGUUAAUUUUUAAUGACUCAUUCGGCGCCUUA
RNAcentral lists this ribosomal RNA (520 nucleotides) under uncultured Glomus. RNAcentral's name for it is "SSU rRNA". It matches the Rfam family "Eukaryotic small subunit ribosomal RNA", at positions 569 to 1090 of the family's 1831-position model. The record is from RNAcentral. Lineage: Eukaryota; Fungi; Glomeromycota; Glomeromycetes; Glomerales; Glomeraceae.